This 497-nucleotide ribosomal RNA is filed under the name uncultured bacterium. RNAcentral describes it as "partial 16S ribosomal RNA". It matches the Rfam family "Bacterial small subunit ribosomal RNA", at positions 28 to 507 of the family's 1533-position model. The record is from RNAcentral.
GAUGAACGCUGGCGGCGUGCCUAAUACAUGCAAGUCGAGCGAACAGACGAGGAGCUUGCUCCUCUGACGUUAGCGGCGGACGGGUGAGUAACACGUGGAUAACCUACCUAUAAGACUGGGAUAACUUCGGGAAACCGGCGCUAAUACCGGAUAAUAUAUUGAACCGCAUGGUUCAAUAGUGAAAGACGGUUUUGCUGUCACUUAUAGAUGGAUCCGCGCCGCAUUAGCUGGUUGGUAAGGUAACGGCUUACCAAGGCAACGAUGCGUAGCCGACCUGAGAGAGUGAUCGGCGGCAUGGGAGGGGAGACACGGACAAGACGCCUGCGGGAGGGAGCAGUAGGGAAUGGGCGGCAGUGGGCGGAAGUCUUGCGGAGUGGCGGGGCGUGAGAGAUGACGGUCUUGGGAUCGUGAAAAUGUGUUUUGAGGGGAGAACAAAUGUGUAAGGAACUAUGCACGUAGUGACGGUACCGAGUCAGAAAGCCACGGCUAACUACGUG